ACGAAUGCGGCUGAAGUGGCUCCCCGCCAGGCUCAGGAGACGUCCGCGGGUCUCGCGGUCGCGCGGCUGUGCCGCCGGCCGCCGGGUGCCCGAGGACCGAUCUGCAUUUCUGCGGGGAGCCGGCCAACGGCAGUCGUUGCCGGCCCAGGAGGGCGUCGCGGGAAGGUGGCCUCGCGUUCCGCGUGGGGAACUUACAGCCCGACGCCAGGGUGCUCCGGCGGCGACUGAGGAGAGCUUGCGAAAGUGUCGCACGAGCAGCGCAGGCCGCCCCCACGGGCGGCUGGGCCGCUCUCGUCCGGUUAGCGGCUGCGGUGUUCACUGCCUAGCCAGUGACCUGCCGACGGCUCGCGAGUCGGAAGGGAGGCCGGUCGCACCUUGCGCUGCGGUCGU
RNAcentral lists this ribosomal RNA (390 nucleotides) under Abyssocladia escheri. RNAcentral describes it as "partial 28S ribosomal RNA". The record is from RNAcentral. Lineage: Eukaryota; Metazoa; Porifera; Demospongiae; Poecilosclerida; Cladorhizidae.